UGAAACCAGUCACAUCAUGUAUGAAACAGCACUAUUUGCUUACCUGGAGACAGCGGCGCUAAACUACACAGUCAUGGUGUCAGAGAGUGAUUAAAGGCCAGUGGGCAUGAUGACUGAAGCAUAAAGCAGCAUAAAAUAUAAUUUGCCAAGUGAUUAUGAAUUGUACUUUUACAGUACUGAAGUAAACGGUCUUCUCCAAAGGUUGCUGCUACCCUGGACUGCUGUAUACCUGACAUGCAUUAUGUCUGUAUGUACUGUUUCAUUUUGUAAGUAGUUAUGAAUUUUUACUUUGUCUUCCAUCUGCUCCUGAAGACGGCGACUACUUCAUGGUGUGUUGUUUGGAAUAGGUAUCGUCCUCCUCGUGCUCCUCCUCCUCCUCAUCGUCUUGUUCACUAGGAGAUACAGGUCCAAGAGACGAGGAGUUCGUCAUAGCUGGGCGCCGACUGAUGACGUUGCUCCGCUUUUAUCUCCCGGAAGUCUUCCUCCUCCAUGAUGCUAAGCACAUCCAGUCAUCAUGGCUCUGUCCACUAACUAUGUUAGUAGGGAUUUUAUUUAUAAUUUAUAGAGACUUUCAUCAUUAGGAUUCAAAAAACACCUCAUAAUAACUCACAAAUAGAAGAUGAUUCAAAUAUUUCGUACACUGUGUCGCACCAGUGUCAUUUAUUGUUUUUCUCUGUAGCCAACAGCACAAUCUCCCACUAUUUGUUCUGGUUAAUAAAUGCGUUUUGGCAAUGUUUUAAAAUUUAGAUGGCUCGAGUCAAAAUAGCUCCUUUUAUGCAAAUUUUAUCCACAACCCCCCACAGACGGGAAACAGUACAGACACAACUCUAGCGAAUGAGGAGCCAUAUUCUUUGAUUUGGGAAACCAAAGCCUGAUGGAAAUGAAAAAGCUCGACAGACACAGAGGCAACACAGCAGCAACAGAAAAUGAUCCUCCAUCACACAGAAACGAGAGCAGUAACUGAGCCGUGUUCAGCGUUCAUCCUCAGACAGCUUUCAACACUGUGACGACUAGUUUCCCUUUUUCAGAAAAGUUGGGAUACUUUCCAAAAUGCAAUAAAAACAAAGAUCUGGGAUUUGUAAAUUCACACAAACCUUUAGUUUCAAUAGUUUUACUGACCAGGGUAAUUGUAAUAGUAUUUUGUAAAAAUAAGUUAGUUGGGACAGAGGCAUUGUGUUACAUCACCUUUCCUUUUAAUUCCACCUUUUCAUACCAUCACAGAUACUGCUUUUGCAACUUUUACUGAGAACAAUCUGGAUGGUCACUGUCUUUUGUUCCAUCUGAGAUGAACUCAGGCCCAGAAAAGUCGCCAGCGUCUCUGCCUACCACUGAUGUGUGGAUUCCUCCUUGUAUUAUUCAGGUUGCAUUUCUGGAUGUUCACCAAUAUUGGCACAAAGGAGCCCCGACCCUGCAGACUACAUGACUUUCAAUGUCGGCAGAUCGCUGGGCUGUUCAGACUACACAACUUGCCAGCUUGUGUCGGGAGUCUCGCCGUCGUUCCCACUCCGUGACUUAUCGGUGACAGGAGGUCACACAGUACGCUAUUAGACAACAACUCUGUCACCCGAGGGCUGGUCUCAUAACCACGUUUUGUCAAGAAAACACACGUGAAACGUGGCAGGCGAAAUGACGUGAAACUACACACGAAACAUCUGUUGUUUGUUCUUAUAAAGACAAAGAAUCUGGGUGAAAGAACGGUUUAGCACACGCAGGUAGCAGGGAUUGUCUGAGCUACAGAGAGCUGGAGGGGAGUAAAAAGGGUUUUGUUGAGUUUGAUGCAGGCAUAAAAUUCUAACUUUACAAAAUACGAUUAUGCUGGUCAGUAAAACUACUGAAACUCAAAAUUUAAAUCAAAUAAAGGUUCACAUGAUUUAACAAAUUAAAACUUUUUCUGUAUUUUCUGUAUCCAAACUUUUCUGGAAAUGGGGUUUGUAGUUUACAAGCAGCAUAUAUAUUUAAAGAGGUUGUGGACUUGACCAUAGGGUUAUGUUCUCUGUUGCCUGUAAAGUUCCUCUGCUCCCUUGAGAUGUUAAUCCAAAAGAAUAUUGGUUAUAUAAAGUCUUUUCUAUCUUGUAAUGUUACAGUGUUUGUUAGUUCAUUGGUCAUUUUGAAUGAAAUAUUUUUCUGUUUCUUACAACUUUGUCACCACCGUCAGUGUUUGUCAACUCUUUCUGUUUUGUUCCACAGUAUUUGUCUAUAAAAUUGUUGCAUUUUCAAAGUUAAUGUGUAAUUUCAAUGCUUCCAAGUAUCUCUUAGAUAUUUAUUACAUAUAACCUAAACCGUAACCAUUACACAUUGACUAAUCUAACUUUAAAAAGGUUCAUUUAAAAUUAUUUUAUAGACAUUUCUAUGUUUCUGAUGGUUUUGACAAAAAUCUAGUGCUGAUCCUGCAAACAUGUAAUUAAUGAAGAAAACUGGGAGGUUGUUUCUUGACAGAGUUUUGUAGAAAAUCAAAACCUGGCCAUGUUUUUAAUCAU
This is a long non-coding RNA of Micropterus salmoides (largemouth bass), 2477 nucleotides long. RefSeq lists it as uncharacterized. Lineage: Eukaryota; Metazoa; Chordata; Actinopteri; Centrarchiformes; Centrarchidae. The transcript is spliced from 4 exons. The record is from RefSeq and is a predicted model, not a curated record.